Molecule: ribosomal RNA, 440 nt
Filed under: uncultured bacterium
Lineage: Bacteria
Description: partial 16S ribosomal RNA
Rfam family: Bacterial small subunit ribosomal RNA
Source: RNAcentral
CCUACGGGAGGCAGCAGUGGGGAAUAUUGCACAAUGGGGGAAACCCUGAUGCAGCGACUCCGCGUGUGGGAAGAAGUAAUUCGUUACGUAAAGCUCUAUCAGCAGGGAAGAAAAUGACGGUACCUGAGUAAGAAGCCGCGGCUAACUACGUGCCAGCAGCCGCGGGAUUACGUAGGGGGCAAGCGUUAACCGGAUUUACUGGGUGUAAAGUGAGCGUAGACGGGGCGGCAAGUCUGGAGUGAAAUGCCCGGGCUUAACUGGGGAACCGCUUUGGAAACUGGCGAACUAGAGUGCGGGAGGGGUAAGCGGAAUUCCACGUGUAGCAGUGAAAUGCGUAGAUAUUUGGAGGAACACCGGUGGCGAAGGCAGCUUACUGGAACGUAACUGACGUUGAGGCUCGAAAGCGUGGGGAGCAAACAGGAUUAGAUACCCUUGUAGUC